GACGAACGCUGGCGGCGUGCUUAACACAUGCAAGUCGAACGGAAAGGCCCUGCUUUUGUGGGGUGCUCGAGUGGCGAACGGGUGAGUAACACGUGAGUAACCUGCUCUUGACUUUGGGAUAACUUCAGGAAACUGGGGCUAAUACCGGAUAGGAGCUCCUGUUGCAUGGUGGGGGUUGGAAAGUUUCGGCGGUUGGGGAUGGACUGGCGGCUUAUCAGCUUGUUGGUGGGGUAGUGGCUUACCAAGGCUUUGACGGGUAGCCGGCCUGAGAGGGUGACCGGCCACAUUGGGACUGCGAGACGGCCCAGACUCCUACGGGAGGCAGCAGUGGGGAAUAUUGCACAAUGGGCGGAAGCCGGAUGCAGCAACGCCGCGUGCGGGAUGACGGCCUUCGGGUUGUAAACCGCUUUCGCCUGUGACGAAGCGUGAGUGACGGUAAUGGGUAAAGAAGCACCGGCUAACUACGUG
RNAcentral lists this ribosomal RNA (468 nucleotides) under uncultured bacterium. RNAcentral describes it as "partial 16S ribosomal RNA". It matches the Rfam family "Bacterial small subunit ribosomal RNA", at positions 28 to 507 of the family's 1533-position model. The record is from RNAcentral.